AACGAACGCUGGCGGCAUGCCUAACACAUGCAAGUCGAACGAGACCUUCGGGUCUAGUGGCGCACGGGUGCGUAACGCGUGGGAACCUGCCCUUAGGUUCGGAAUAACUCCCCGAAAGGGGUGCUAAUACCAGAUAAUGUCUUCGGACCAAAGAUUUAUCGCCUUUGGAUGGGCCCGCGUUGGAUUAGCUAGUUGGUAGGGUAAAAGCCUACCAAGGCGACGAUCCAUAGCUGGUCUGAGAGGAUGAUCAGCCACACUGGGACUGAGACACGGCCCAGACUCCUACGGGAGGCAGCAGUGGGGAAUAUUGGACAAUGGGCGAAAGCCUGAUCCAGCAAUGCCGCGUGAGUGAUGAAGGCCUUAGGGUUGUAAAGCUCUUUUACCCGGGAUGAUAAAGACAGUACCGGGAGAAUAAGCUCCGGCUAACUCCGUG
This 433-nucleotide ribosomal RNA is filed under the name uncultured bacterium. RNAcentral describes it as "partial 16S ribosomal RNA". It matches the Rfam family "Bacterial small subunit ribosomal RNA", at positions 29 to 507 of the family's 1533-position model. The record is from RNAcentral.